RNAcentral lists this ribosomal RNA (561 nucleotides) under uncultured bacterium. RNAcentral describes it as "bacterial SSU rRNA". It matches the Rfam family "Bacterial small subunit ribosomal RNA", at positions 28 to 564 of the family's 1533-position model. The record is from RNAcentral.
AACGAACGCUGGCGGCGUGCUUAACACAUGCAAGUCGUACGAGAAAGUCUCUUCGGAGAUGAGUAAAGUGGCGCACGGGUGAGUAACACGUAGGUAACCUACCUCAGGGACCGGGACAACCCGCCGAAAGGAGGGCUAAUACCGGAUUAGACCACGGGGGCUUCGGCUCCAGCGGUAAAAGUUGGCCUCUGCACGCAAGCUAACACCAAGAGAUGGGCCUGCGGACCAUUAGCUUGUUGGUGGGGUAAUGGCCUACCAAGGCUGAGAUGGAUAGCUGGUCUGAGAGGAUGAUCAGCCACACUGGGACUGAGACACGGCCCAGACUCCUACGGGAGGCAGCAGUGGGGAAUCUUGGGCAAUGGGCGCAAGCCUGACCCAGCAACGCCGCGUGGGUGAUGAAGGCCCUCGGGUCGUAAAGCCCUGUCAGAGGGAACGAAUGUUUCCGGGACGAAUAAUUCCCGGGAAGUGACGGUACCCUCAGAGGAAGCACCGGCUAACUCCGUGCCAGCAGCCGCGGUGAGACGGAGGGUGCUAGCGUUGUUCGGAAUUACUGGGCGUAAA